This 260-nucleotide ribosomal RNA is filed under the name Diversispora epigaea. Lineage: Eukaryota; Fungi; Glomeromycota; Glomeromycetes; Diversisporales; Diversisporaceae. The record is from RNAcentral.
CAGUCGCGUUUGCUGGGACUCAACCUUGCUUUUGCCUGGUGUACUUCUCAGUAAAUGGGUCAGCAUCAGUUUCGGGCGCCGGAAAGGGAUUUGAGGAAUGUGACAGCUUGCUGUGUUAUAGCCUCUUGUCGUACACGGUGCUUGGGAUUGAGGACUGCAGCACGCCUUUUGGUCGGGUUCUCCCGACGCCACGUGCUUAGGAUGCUGGCAUAAUGGCUUUAAGCGACCCGUCUUGAAACACGGACCAAGGAGUACUAACA